Long non-coding RNA from Aplysia californica (California sea hare), 821 nucleotides. RefSeq lists it as uncharacterized. The transcript is spliced from 3 exons. The record is from RefSeq and is a predicted model, not a curated record. Lineage: Eukaryota; Metazoa; Mollusca; Gastropoda; Aplysiida; Aplysiidae.
GGAAGUGCCCCAGCCGCCACAUUGGAAAGGCCAGGUCACAGCUGACGGGCGAAGUUACCAGUUCACUUUCCACUGGCCUCUUUAGCCUCAGGCACUCAAGUUACUGUUGCUGUGCUGUUUUCGUCUUCUAAAUUAUUAUUUUUGCACGUGUAAGAUGCCCGGGUGCACUGCUUGGAAGUGUUCUAGUCGAGGAACACCGAGGAAGAGAAGAGAGGCUUUACUUUUCACAAGUUCCCACUUGGAGAUCCAGACAGAUCAAAGAGGUGGUUGGCAAACAUGAGGAGGGAAGGAUUUUCAGCCCACCAGGAAUACGGUGAUUUGCUCUGCUCACUUCGAUGACAAGUGUUUUGACAGAACAGACCAGACUGUUCGAUUGAGACCUGAUGCUGCACCCACCCUGUUCGAUUGAGACCUGAUGCUGCCCCCACCCUGUUUGAUUUUCCACCCCAUCUCCAGAAGACACCUGUACUGUAAAGCCAAGGCGUCAUGCUGAACGCAGAACCGUCACUCCGUGGCUCAGCCAGAAGCUACUUCCAGUGCUGAUCAAGAGGAGGCUGGAGAGAGUGUGGGUCCAUCUUCAGUCAUCAGUGACGACCAUAGUUAUGCGACUGUAUGUGUAUGUGCUCAUUUUGUAACGAUGUGUAAGCGUGCGCGUGUGAUAUAAGCAAGUAGACGUUGGUGUGUGUGUGUGUCGCGUGCGUGAAUAUUGUUCAUACAUUGUAUACAUGUAUGCGUGCUGAAAAACUUGGCGAUACUGGCUGUGGUUCUCAUUGUGUGUGUGUGUGUGGCGUGCGUGAAUAUUGUUCGUUCAUGCAGUUAUG